This is a long non-coding RNA of Paramacrobiotus metropolitanus, 1694 nucleotides long. RefSeq lists it as uncharacterized. NCBI's taxonomy places the organism in Eukaryota, Metazoa, Tardigrada, Eutardigrada, Parachela, Macrobiotidae. The record is from RefSeq and is a predicted model, not a curated record. The transcript has 2 exons.
GUCAUUCUAUGUGUUUUUACGCGCGGUUGUGUGGUUUAUCGAGUCGACUAAAUGCAAUAGUCAUUGUUACCUGUCCGAUUUCACCUGUGCGAUUUUACCUGUGAACCCGGAUCGCCUGCCUGUUACCGGUCUACAGUGGGAUACCUUUGUGUUUGUUCUUGCGGAUUGGAUGCAGCUGGAUGCCGGCGAGCACGGUGCCAACCGGGUGACGCGGGUGAAUUCGCGGUUGAAGAACCACACGGAUUUUGACUGCAGUUUUAUUGGUUUCCGUUUCCCUAGUUUUGCAUGCACGGCUAUAUCGAUCGAUUUUUCGUAUGAGCGCCUUGUGCGGCCCGAAGCGCCAAGGUUGGGUGGAAUGUUUUUGCAGUCACCGCAGAUGAGAAUGAGCCAGCAGAUCAAUGACCUGCAGCGAGGACAGCAUAAGUAAAGAGCCCUGCUGUUCAAUGUGAGAUGCGUUCGUCGAUAAUGAACUGGAUAAAUCGCGACAUGCCACGUGCAGUAAAUAUACUGGAUGCAACACAAUUAUGCAGCUUUAUCCGCUACUGAAGCGUGCUGUUCUGACCGUGAAUGGACCGAUAAGGGAUGUUUUUGUCGAAUAAUUCAGCGCAGAUUGGUCCAGCGUCUGCGGACACACUAACUUUUGCCAAAGCGGAAUUCACCAAAGCCUAAGAAGGUGCGCGUGAUCUUUGCAGUAGAUGCAGUGUGGAUGCGGAGUGGACAGCAUGAUGUGGAUACGGAGUGACAGCUGAUGCUGAUUGCGAAGUGGGAUUGGAUUUGGUUAACGGGUUGGUCGAGAGCGCCCGUAGUAUGGAAACGGGGUGGUCAUUAGCGCCCAUGUUGAAGUGCGUAUAUGUUUUGGGAGAGAUAUCAGGUUGGCUGUCGGCGCCUGGUAUUUUGUGAAUGCGCUGCGGCAUAUCAUGUGUGCCGCGGAAGUUCUCUCAUCAGUUAUUGCUAUCGCUUUUACACCUAUGGAUGGUCUGAGUCUGUACCGCUACCUGUUGUGGUACUACCUGACGUUAUUUUUCGUGACCUUUCCUGAUGUUAACUGUGGUGCCAUCAAUGGACAUUUCCUGUCCUAAUCUUAUUUCAAAUUUCAACAUCGUAUUAUGUUCCUGACCUGACCACGUGCCACCACCUGUCAGCUGUAUUACGCCAGGAGUUUUACCCGGGGCCUCCAUGUAGCCAACGGUUCUCGUGGCUGUAAGUCAGCUGUCUUAAGUUUCGUCAGCAAUGGAUGUUCGGAUGGAUCCUGUGGACGUUCGUGCCGAGGACGUCACGGUCCAAAGAAGGAGCGUGUCACGAGUACGACUGGUUGAAGUACAUUUUGUAUGGACAGUUAUACUUUGAUGUGGUUUGCAACGGAAGGAAGUGGCCAGAAAGUAUCAGCCAAUUAGUAAAGUGUUAAGUGUACUUUGAUCUCUCAUAAAACAAUCAAUAAAAUGUUGUCUCAUGGUUUGUCUAUGAGUGUUUUUAAGUUGAAGGCGUGUUCUGUCAUCUUUCAUAUUUUGGAUCAGAAAUCGCUUCUGAGUGCUUGAGGGAGAAGAACUCCUUGUGAAUGAAUUAAUGUCAUCUUGCAUAGCUAGCAGCUCUGGAAUAUCUGGUCUUGGGAAGUGUUCUCUGGCAUAUCUUCUUGUCCUAGAUGUUGUUGCACUGUUAGUCUGAAUGAGUCUGUAUAAAGGUCACCGUUAGCAGAA